RNAcentral lists this ribosomal RNA (466 nucleotides) under uncultured bacterium. RNAcentral describes it as "partial 16S ribosomal RNA". It matches the Rfam family "Bacterial small subunit ribosomal RNA", at positions 28 to 507 of the family's 1533-position model. The record is from RNAcentral.
GAUGAACGCUGGCGGCGUGCUUAACACAUGCAAGUCGAACGAGGAAGCCCAGCUUGCUGGGUGGAUUAGUGGCGAACGGGUGAGUAACACGUGAGUAACCUGCCCUUAACUCUGGGAUAAGCCUGGGAAACUGGGUCUAAUACCGGAUAGGAGCGUCCACCGCAUGGUGGGUGUUGGAAAGAUUUAUCGGUUUUGGAUGGACUCGCGGCCUAUCAGCUUGUUGGUGAGGUAAUGGCUCACCAAGGCGACGACGGGUAGCCGGCCUGAGAGGGUGACCGGCCACACUGGGACUGAGACACGGCCCAGACUCCUACGGGAGGCAGCAGUGGGGAAUAUUGCACAAUGGGCGCAAGCCUGAUGCAGCGACGCCGCGUGAGGGAUGACGGCCUUCGGGUUGUAAACCUCUUUCAGUAGGGAAGAAGCGAAAGUGACGGUACCUGCAGAAGAAGCACCGGCUAACUACGUG